CAUAUAGGUUUGGUCCUGACCUUAAGAUCAGUUCUUACUUGACUUACACAUGCAAGUCUCCGCACACCCGUGAAAAUGCCCUUUCCCCCACUUAGGAAUAAGGAGCUGGUAUCAGGCACAAUAAUUUGCCCAAGACACCUAGCCACGCCACACCCAUAAGGGUUCUCAGCAGUGAUUAACAUUAAAAAUAAACGUCAGUUUAAUUUAGUCAAUGGAAACAGAGCCGGCCAAUACUAGUGCCAGCCGCCGCGGUUACACCACAAGGCUCAAAUUGAUCUCAUUCGGCGUAAAGCGUGAUUAAAGAAACAAUAUAUUAGGGCUAAACUUAAACUAAACUGUAAAAUACAUGUUAUUAAGAAAGUCACACCCGAAAGAUACCCUAACACACCAACUUGAAUUCACGAUAACUAGGACACAAACUGGGAUUAGAUACCCCACUAUGCCUAGUCGUAAACUUUAACUUACACUCAAUCGCCAGGAAACUACGAGCAAAGCUUAAAACCCAAAGGACUUGACGGUGCCCCAUAUCCCCCUAGAGGAGCCUGUCCUAUAAUCGAUAACCCUCGUUUAACCUCACCAUUUCUAGUUCCUCAGCUUGUAUACUUCCGUCGUCAGCUCCCCGCAUGAGCGAAACCAAGUGAGCUCAAUGUUUACUAACCAAAACGCCAGGUCAAAGUGCAGCAAAUGAAAUGGGCAAAGAUGGGCUACACUCUCUAAUUUAGAAAACACGGAAAGCUACGUGAAAUCGUAACUUAAAGGCGGAUUUAGUAGUAAGAGGAGAAUAGAGUGCUCCCCUUAACUCGGCACUGGGGUGUGUACACACCGCCCGUCACCCUCUUCGACAUAAUGAUUUAGUAUAUAACAACCAAUUCCCCCCAAGAAGAGGAAAGUCGUAACAUGGUAAGCAUACCGGAAGGUGUGCUUGGACA
This 929-nucleotide non-coding RNA is filed under the name Pristimantis eriphus (Rio Jatuntianhua robber frog). RNAcentral's name for it is "12S ribosomal RNA". The stretch from base 95 to 929 matches the Rfam family "Bacterial small subunit ribosomal RNA". The record is from RNAcentral. Lineage: Eukaryota; Metazoa; Chordata; Amphibia; Anura; Strabomantidae.